AUCCAUCUGAUGAGUCCUAGACAGGACGAAACGCGUGGUCUUGAUUGCAU
RNAcentral lists this non-coding RNA (50 nucleotides) under Schistosoma margrebowiei. Lineage: Eukaryota; Metazoa; Platyhelminthes; Trematoda; Strigeidida; Schistosomatidae. The record is from RNAcentral.